UGUGGCAAAACUGGGGACAUCCAAAUAAAGCUUGCAGUUUUGGGAACAGUAACCCAACUAAGAAACAUAAUCUGGUAGUGGUUAAAAGUGUAUCAUGGAUCUAGAAGUUGUUAGCCCCAGGGGCAACAGGGAGGCAUAUGUUGGAACUCUGCACUAUUUUGUUGGAGACCAUUGAAACUGCUGAACGAUGCAGUAAACAAAUUUGGCUCACAUGCAAAACACAACCACUAAGAGAGCUUUAUCAUUGCCUGCACCUGAUUUUGCUCAUUAACCUACGUCACCUUCCCUAAUAAAAGUCAUGAGGGCUAAAGCCUAGGCGCCUUUGUUCUGCAGAACAGAGUGCCUCCUGGUCCCCCACUUUCUAAAUUACCAAAACAGGUGCAUAGGAUUGGAAAGAAGUCAGACUUUGUGCCAGGUGUGUAAUGAAACUUGUGGAUCCUUGGCUACGUCUCUCUGGUCGCCUCCAGGGCUCUGAUCUGUCUCCCCACCCGAUUGCAGUCUGAGGCCAUAAGCGCUGUCUUGAUGGAUUGUGUUUGCUGCCAUCUCUCUGGCGUCUAGAAUCUGGAGCCCACAAAGCCGCUGCUCAGGAAUGAUGUGGGGAAGGAUGGAAUGAAGGGACCCUUCCCCUCCAGUCUGAAUGUCCAGCCUCUCCCCACCCUCCCGACUUCAUCACUUGAGUGGAUGCCACCAACUCCUUUACAGCUUGCUUCAGAUCUAAACUUUUUUUCCCCCAGGCUAGGGGUCAAAUCCGAGCUACAGCUGCCCACCUAUGCCACAGCCAUAGCAAUGCCAGAUCCAAGCCCAGUCUGUGACCUCACUACAGCUCAGGGCAACACCGGAUCCUCAACCCACUGAGUGAUGCCAGGGAUCGAACCCUCAUCCUCAUGGAUACUAGUUGGGUUCUUAACCUGCUGAGCCACAACUGGAACUCCAGAUCUAAGUGUUGUUAUUGUUUCUGAUAAUCUGCCCAGGACAUGACUCAGAGACAUGGGCCACGUCUGCAUCUCCUCUAUGUCAGGGUCGCAGUGCUUAAGUCACACUGAGGAUGGUAUAUUCCCACCUCAGGGCCUUUGCACUUGCUGUGCCCUCCACUGGCCCACUCUUCCUUACCUUCUUGUCCAUGAGUACUUGGCUUCAUAUGCUACUUCCUCAGACUACCCUGACACUCUGACUUAACUAGCACAUACCCCCACUGACCCAGAUAGUACCUACCCCCAUCACCCUCUCUCUAGGCUCUACUGUUGUCAAGCACCACCUUGCCCACCCCAGAAAUUCCCAAGAAAGCAGGUCGGGGUGAUCAACCAAUGUACACUCGAUGGGGGCAGAAGGGGGCUAACAUUACUUCUGACAAGCACAGGUCAGUGAAGGGAGGUGGGCAUCAGAUUGGUACUGUGUGGUGAGGUGAGCCCGAGGUGGGAGGAUGGUGGAUGAUAUCAGGAGGUGGGCGUGGGGGCUGCAGGAACAGUGGCCUGAGGUCCACAGAGGGUGGACUCAAUCUGGAGGGUGACAGGUUUGGAGGAUGGGGUCCAAGCUGUGUUUUCACAAGAUCAGUCUGGAAAAAGGCAAGCUACAGAUAGAUCUAUAUCAUCUGUCUCUCUUAUCUGUUUCUCUGUACCUAUAGCUAUAUCUAUUUAUACCUAUCUGUGUAUCUAUCUAUUCAUUGAACUAUAUCUGUCCAUCUACUUUAUCUCUAUCCAUCCAUUUAUUUUUAUC
Sus scrofa (pig) is the source of this 1713-nucleotide non-coding RNA. Lineage: Eukaryota; Metazoa; Chordata; Mammalia; Artiodactyla; Suidae. The record is from RefSeq and is a predicted model, not a curated record.